AUUGAACGCUGGCGGCAUGCUUUACACAUGCAAGUCGAACGGUAACAGGGAGCUUGCUCCGCUGACGAGUGGCGAACGGGUGAGUAAUAUAUCGGAACGUACCCAAGAGUGGGGGAUAACGUAGCGAAAGUUACGCUAAUACCGCAUACGAUCUAAGGAGGAAAGCAGGGGACCUUCGGGCCUUGUGCUCCUGGAGCGGCCGAUAUCUGAUUAGCUAGUUGGUGAGGUAAAGGCUCACCAAGGCGACGAUCAGUAUCUGGUCUGAGAGGACGACCAGCCACACUGGAACUGAGACACGGUCCAGACUCCUACGGGAGGCAGCAGUGGGGAAUUUUGGACAAUGGGCGCAAGCCUGAUCCAGCAAUGCCGCGUGAGUGAAGAAGGCCUUCGGGUUGUAAAGCUCUUUUGUCAGGGAAGAAACGGGAUUGGCUAAUAUCCAGUCCUAAUGACGGUACCUGAAGAAUAAGCACCGGCUAACUACGUG
Molecule: ribosomal RNA, 484 nt
Filed under: uncultured bacterium
Lineage: Bacteria
Description: partial 16S ribosomal RNA
Rfam family: Bacterial small subunit ribosomal RNA
Source: RNAcentral